UGGGUAACCUGCCCAUCAGAAGGGGAUAACACUUGGAAACAGGUGCUAAUACCGUAUAACAAUCGAAACCGCAUGGUUUCGUUUUGAAAGGCGCUUUACGGUGCCGCUGAUGGAUGGACCCGCGGUGCAUUAGCUAGUUGGUGAGGUAACGGCUCACCAAGGCCACGAUGCAUAGCCGACCUGAGAGGGUGAUCGGCCACAUUGGGACUGAGACACGGCCCAAACUCCUACGGGAGGCAGCAGUAGGGAAUCUUCGGCAAUGGACGAAAGUCUGACCGAGCAACGCCGCGUGAGUGAAGAAGGUUUUCGGAUCGUAAAACUCUGUUGUUAGAGAAGAACAAGGGUGAGAGUAACUGUUCACCCCUUGACGGUAUCUAACCAGAAAGCCACGGCUAACUACGUGCC
This 405-nucleotide ribosomal RNA is filed under the name Enterococcus sp. Its description in RNAcentral is "bacterial SSU rRNA". It matches the Rfam family "Bacterial small subunit ribosomal RNA", at positions 118 to 509 of the family's 1533-position model. The record is from RNAcentral. Lineage: Bacteria; Bacillati; Bacillota; Bacilli; Lactobacillales; Enterococcaceae.